UACGUAGGGGGCAAGCGUUAUCCGGAUUUACUGGGUGUAAAGGGAGCGUAGACGGCGAUGCAAGCCAGAUGUGAAAGCCCGGGGCUCAACCCCGGGACUGCAUUUGGAACUGUGUGGCUGGAGUGUCGGAGAGGCAAGUGGAAUUCCUAGUGUAGCGGUGAAAUGCGUAGAUAUUAGGAGGAACACCGGUGGCGAAGGCGGCCUGCUGGACUGCAACUGACGUUGAGGCCCGAAAGCGUGGGGAGCAAACAGG
Molecule: ribosomal RNA, 253 nt
Filed under: uncultured bacterium
Lineage: Bacteria
Description: partial 16S ribosomal RNA
Rfam family: Bacterial small subunit ribosomal RNA
Source: RNAcentral